UUUGAGAGUAAGGUCUGGGGAUGGAAGAGGGGAGAAGAUGUGGGGUUCCAGGAUAGGAAGGGAGCAGGGAGUCCUGGGUAGAGAGAAGAAUGAAGAUUCCUGGAGGGCCUGUGGAUGUGGGUCCCUGACAGGGAAGGGAGUUCUGGCGGUGGGAAUUCGGGUGUCAACACUACAGACUUUUCUACUUACAGCUUUCUCUUGGCUCCUGUACUGCUGGGCCCUGUCUGAAGUGGCCCAAACAGGCACUGGAUUAGCUGAAAAGAAAGGGUUAAUUUAUACUUUAGCCAGGCCUUUCACCCUAGAAAGGCAAUUCCUGGUCAAAGGGAAAGGGGUAAAGAUGUGCAGUAGCAAGGAGUGGGGAAGGAUAAGAGGUUGGGGCAGAGGAGCACCUU
RNAcentral lists this long non-coding RNA (392 nucleotides) under Rattus norvegicus (Norway rat). RNAcentral's name for it is "long non-coding RNA NONRATT014619". Lineage: Eukaryota; Metazoa; Chordata; Mammalia; Rodentia; Muridae. The record is from RNAcentral.